UUGCUAAAUUUCUACCGCCAAUGGGCCA
This 28-nucleotide small RNA is filed under the name Bombyx mori (domestic silkworm). RNAcentral's name for it is "ovarian small RNA-37882". The record is from RNAcentral. Lineage: Eukaryota; Metazoa; Arthropoda; Insecta; Lepidoptera; Bombycidae.